RNAcentral lists this transfer RNA (70 nucleotides) under Dipodomys ordii (Ord's kangaroo rat). It matches the Rfam family "tRNA". From Rfam's summary of the family: Transfer RNA (tRNA) molecules are approximately 80 nucleotides in length. Their secondary structure includes four short double-helical elements and three loops (D, anti-codon, and T loops). Lineage: Eukaryota; Metazoa; Chordata; Mammalia; Rodentia; Heteromyidae. The record is from Rfam by way of RNAcentral.
GGGAAUGUGGCUUAGUGGUAGAGUGCUUGCCUAACAUGCAUGAAGCUCUAGGUUCAAUUCCUCAGUACCA